RNAcentral lists this ribosomal RNA (497 nucleotides) under uncultured bacterium. Its description in RNAcentral is "bacterial SSU rRNA". It matches the Rfam family "Bacterial small subunit ribosomal RNA", at positions 28 to 507 of the family's 1533-position model. The record is from RNAcentral.
GAUGAACGCUGGCGGCGUGCCUAACACAUGCAAGUCGAGCGUGAACCCUGCGAAUGAAACUUCGGUCGAUUUUGCAGGGGGAAAGCGGCGGACGGGUGAGUAACGCGUAGGUAACCUGCCCCAUACUGAGGGAUAGCCUCGGGAAACCGGGAUUAAUACCUCAUAACACCGUAUAUUCGCAUGGAUGUGCGGUCAAAGAUUUAUCGGUAUGGGAUGGGCCUGCGUCUGAUUAGCUGGUUGGUGGGGUAACGGCCUACCAAGGCGACGAUCAGUAGCCGACCUGAGAGGGUGAUCGGCCACAUUGGAACUGAGAUACGGGCCAGACUCCUACGGGAGGCAGCAGUAGGGAAUAUUGGACAAUGGGUGCAAGCCUGAUCCAGCCAUGCCGCGUGCAGGAAGAAAGCCUUCUGGGUUGUAAACUGCUUUUGCCAGGGGAUAAAAACACUUUGCGAAGUGGAUUGAAGGUACCUGGUGAAUAAGCCACGGCUAACUACGUG